This 5258-nucleotide long non-coding RNA is filed under the name Homo sapiens (human). RNAcentral's name for it is "non-protein coding MIR503HG:11". The stretch from base 2934 to 3017 matches the Rfam family "mir-322 microRNA precursor family". The record is from RNAcentral. Lineage: Eukaryota; Metazoa; Chordata; Mammalia; Primates; Hominidae.
GCCGGCUGCGCCGCUCGCCUCCAAGGGAGCGUUCCGUGCUGGCCCCUCGCUCGGCUCCGCUCCGCCUCCGCCACGCCGCUCUCCGAGCUUCGGCAGCAGCCAGCGCCCCCUCCACGCUGCGACCCCGGCUCUCGGCUCUCCGUCCCUGUAGCUCCGUGCCCAGCACCUCGCGCCCCGCAACCUCGCCGUCUCCCAAGUCCCGGGCCCCGCUUCUGUCGCUGUCCGUCGCUGUCCGUGUGUCGCUCGCUCGGUCUGUCUCUCCGCCUCCCCAGCCCUUCCUUCCUCCCUGUCUCCCUCGCUGGCUUGCACGUUCGCUCGCUCUCGGACGCGGCGAAACAGCUUCGCAGGCAAAUCCCAGAAACCUUUGCAAAAAGCUUGCAAUGAAAUUUAAGAAGUUCUUCGAUUUCGGCGCCAUUUUCGAGUGGAGCCAGAGGUGACAUGCGAUUUUUUAAAAAGGGACUUGGUGGCUGGCGUCUUUCCCGACUGUAACGUGGGUUACGGCAGGCAGAAAAACAUCUGGUGAUAAUUCUGAAAAAAGUGCUGUGGCGUUUGGGGGGGUUGUAAAGCACGUUUUGCGGGCGGGAUGGGGGCAAAUCUGACAUUUAAAGUGUUUAACAAAUGAGUGCGGCCGGGAAAUUCUCAGGAAACGGACUGGGAAAAAAAAAACAACAACUAACAUGGAGGGGCGGGGAGAGAAAACUGAGUAAGGGGCAGUGACCGACUGUCAGCCUCGCUAGGGUCGGGAGCGACUGGUUUUGACAGAAUGUAAAUGAACUUUUCCUCUUAUUUGCAAGAAGUUAGUUAUGUCUUGGAAAGAAAUGUGUGAUUAAUUUCACAUUGUCUCUCCCGAAUUAAAACUUUAAAGGUUGUUUAGUUUUCCCCGUAGGGACUUGACAUUGUGGAAGUUUGGCUAGAAUGCGCCGAGAGAAGGUACAUCGUGUGUUUGGGGUGUGGGGGACGAAGGCAUAUGCAAAAUUAAAAGACAAAACGUUGUAGAGUAUGAACAGAGGAAGAGGCGUAUUCUUUGGCUCUUAAAUCAUUUAGCCAAACACAUUGCAGUUCAGAAGGGGGUGGGGCUAUGGCAACUCGAAAGUAUCGAUUCUUUGUCUAUUGUAUCAGUGAAUGACCCUCUCCUGAAGUGACAAGACGCCCCUUUGUAAUCUCUUUUCGUAAGUAAAUUUCAGUCUAAGGGGAAAUAUGUAAACUAGGGGAUCGAGGUGGCUUUUUAGGGGUGUAACUCGUUGUACUAUCACUGGGAGAGAUGAAAGGGGUUAGGGUGAAAGGUAUAAAUGAAUUUGAUUCCAAGAGCAAUCUGGAAGGGACCUUCGCCUUUGACACCGAUGCUGUUUCGAAUGAACUUUUGUUUUUCUAAGUAGUCAACUAAGGAAAUGUUAAAUUAGGCAUGACUUUAACUUCUGACAUGAUGGCUCGUAUAUUUGUGUGGAACAAAAUGUUGGGAGAAAGUUGUGGAGUUUUACAUGAUAAUUGUACAUUUGCUAAACAUGUUUUUUUUUUCUUUUUAAGGGCAGUCAACGACAUUUUUCUCCAUUAAUCCCAAAGUCAGUGUAAAAGUUGUUUGUAAAUAUCAUUGCCAAAACAAGAUGGAAUGUAGAGAUACUUGAUUGUCGCAAUUUAGGGAAUGGGGUUAUUGUUACUAAUGACUUUUUUUUUUUACCAUGACAUAGUGUAUUUGUUACCACUGGAUCUCAGUCUGGAUGUUAUAAAUUCGAUACUUAAUCUUAUUAAAUACUCUGCACAUUUUAUUAACUAAUAAAUAGGACACUUAACAUUCAUUGUACUGGUUUUGAAAAACCGACUUAAUUUGUAAGUGUAACAAGAUACUUACAGUUGGAUAAUUUAAAUGUCUAUUACUUGUGCUGAAAUGUAUUUAACUUUCAAAACCAUUACAGUUAGUGCUGAUUUUGUUGUUUUAACUUUUAGGUUUGUGAUUGAGGAUUUCAGAGUGGGUUUUUUUUUUAAUGCUUAAUUGAAUAUUGUAUUCAAACAAAAAGAGGGCAUGCAUGUGACUUGUUGCUAAUAUGUGUCCAUUUUAAAAAGGAAAAAGUGGUAUCUAAUGAGUUAAUCAUUAAGGAGUAUGCGCAGUGCCGGCCAUUUCAGGACAUGAAAGUUUCUGUGGAGCUGCUUGAAACAGGAAGGAGCGACUUGACAUCAAGUAUUUAAACUUUUUGAUUUAUGUUUUGAUAGAUGACAUUGAUAGGUAUAAAUUAUAAAUAAGUUUGAGUAACCAGUUUAAUAUGUAAACUGGUAUUUCAUCUACAGAAAGUUCUCUGUCAUUGUUUGGAGCUCUUUAAAAUAACUCAGCUGGGGUGUUUAAGAAUAAAAACACUAGCAGUGAGUUAGGACAUCUAAUGCUUUUAAAGAUAGAUGUAUAUGUCGCAACGAUAGUGUAAGAAUCAGCUGAAGCUACCGGUGAGGUUUUGGUUAUUUUCUUUCAGUCAUCUGAGUCCAUUUCCAAUAAAGGUUGUUUUUUUGUUUCGUUUUUUGUUUUUUUUUAAUGGGGACAAUGAAUGAGACUUGUAAUAUGCAGCAGGAAGAAGUUUCACCAAGACUUUGAAACUGGCAAGAAUGAUCCAGAUGUCCAAUUGCCUCUACUUAACCUUAUUCGUCUACCUUCAGAAGUAAUUAGAUUCUCUUCCACACUAAUUCGUAUCCCCCAUCGCUCUGCUUUUCACCCACUACGUUGUUCCAAGAUUCAUCCUCAGGGGAAAAAAUUGAGAGCCACACUUUCGGCUCCACCUGCAGCUCCUGGAAAUCAAAUGGUGAAGUUAUAAGAAGUACCUUAACUUGGAGUGAAGUGGCCUAGUCAUAAGUUUUGCCCUAUUCCUUGCCAGGGGGUGGGGCGGGGCUUCCUUCAGUCAUCCAGUCUUUAUUCACCCGCAGGUACCCCCAGAUCGAUCCCCCUUCAUUGACUCCGAGGGGAUACAGCAGCAAUUCAUGUUUUGAAGUGUUCUAAAUGGUUCAAAACGUGAGGCGCUGCUAUACCCCCUCGUGGGGAAGGUAGAAGGUGGGGUCUGCCGGACGCGUGUUCCUGCCACCAGGUGCCCGCUCCCCGCGAGGCCGGCUCAGGAGCAGGUAGGUGGGCGGGGGCUCGCGUCUCUGUUUCCGGCGGGUCCUCGCCCUUGUCCACGCAGCAGGGCUGUAGUCCGGGGAGGGCAGUAUUCCUGGCUAGGCUGGGGCGCAUAGGCGGUGCGAGUCGAGGAGAGACGCGGUGCCCGCGCUCAGCCGUGCCCUAGCAGCGGGAACAGUUCUGCAGUGAGCGAUCGGUGCUCUGGGGUAUUGUUUCCGCUGCCAGGGUAAGUCUGGGACUGCCGUUCGGGCCUACCCAGCAGGUAAGUCUUAGGCCAUCGCCUGCGGUGUCGGCCCCGGGAGCAGCGAGACCCAAGAUUGCAUCAAACGUUUGCCCCGUCUCUGCAUAUGUGACUGGACGUGAAUGAUGCUUCAUUUUGGCACCCCCUUUCCCUGCUCAGGUAGAAUGUAAACAAUUGAAAAAAAUCCCUUCCCAAUCAGAAUACCACCCACAGGACAACGAAGAAAACCUAUCUUCAGUCCCCACCCACGAAAUGCUGGGGGGUGGGGAGGACUGGAAAAGGAGUAAGGGGAGAGGAAGGGUGAGCAGCUGCAAGAAGUCUUUACACCUCUCUGCGGUUCCUGGUAAACGCGCUCAUGUCCUGGGUAUGGAAGGGACUUAAGAAUUCAGGAAAGAUCAAAAUAACGGGCCUCUUCCCCACUCCCUCGCCCUCCCUUCCCCGCUGCUGGGGGGUUAGGGAGGCUCCGUGGAGCUCCAGCACUCUAGAAGGAUCGGGUGAGGCGCGAGGCCUUGCGGGCGGGUGAACCCAAGGUGGGGUGGAAGGCUCCAACCCGCCCAAUCUGAGCCCGAGGCCUGCUGAGAAGCAUGGGGGCCUUGGGAUAGUUCCAGAAUGAGGAUGUGCGUUUCUAGCUGCUUUGCGCCCUCCUCCCCCAAAAAUCUGCUACCACAAUUCCAACCCGGCGGCACGCCCCCAAGACUCCUUUGUCGCCCCAGGGGCGGGACCUGAGCUGUCGAUUUCAGGAGCCCUUCGUGACUUCAAAAGUCCUGGGCACUGUUGCUCAUGAGUGCUGCACAACUGUCGCCCUCUAAAGCCACCUCCAUCCCUCACUGGGCUGGCCUCCUGAGCCUUCGGUGAGGAAACGGGGUUCCGAGUUGCCCGCCUGAGAGCUUAACAGUCUGACUAGAAAAGGGCUAAUUCGCUUUCUGUGCAAAUCUCUUGAGCUAAUUAUUUAAUCUGAAACAUGGACAGGUAAAGGACCAUUGGCGGGCGUGGGGAGGGAGGUGUGGAAUCUUUCCCACACUUUUUGUCACCUUAAAGAAAAAAAAAAGACACCCAAACUCCUCUGGUCUGAAUGGGCUGCCUGGAACUGGGCUUCCCGGGGCCAGGAGUGGGCCCCUAGAAGUUUCCCAGUUUGGGGUGGGGCCGGGGUUCCGAAGUCUAGAGCUGGGAGUCGGGUUCAGCGGCCCGAGACGCUGGCUCUCCCAGACUCCCUUGCGCCGGGGCAGUGCGCGGGGGCGGCUCGGGUCCCUCCCGGGCCGGCGGGGACCCUCAGGCUCCCGGGGCGCCGCCCACCAGCCCGACCCGGCGGCCUAGAAAUCCCCAUUCUGCUCCCGCCUCGCCCCGGCCGGCCAGCGCAGGGCCCCUCAGGCCCGCAAUCUCCAGGCUCAAACGGCGAACAGGUCCCCGCAUCCGCCUGCCUUUGCACUUGGGGGUGGGAGAGCCACCUUGUGACGCCCCUUCUGCCUCUCACCAGCUUCCCCCUUUCUCCCCGUCCUGUACGGUUCCCCCUGGAGCCAGAAGGAAGCCCGGUGCCAGCCAGCCUUCCUGAAAGACCAAGCCCGCGCCAUCCGGCUUCCUCCAGUGGACGCCUGCAGGACCCAGGUGAGACACGGAACCGGUUGGGGACGCGAGCCAGGGAUCCUGACCGGUUGGGGGCGGCGAGCAAGGGAUCCUGACUUGGGGGCGUUGCCUCCCGGAAUCCAAGCGGCCUUUUGCCCGGGUCUCCCGAGAUGCAUCGAAAUUGAGCUCGUCCACACAGCCCCCUGACUGCGUGAUGCCCUUUUCUGACUUAAAACAUUCCUUGUACCUUUAUUUACACGAUCCAAGUUGCAGUGUGCCUAGAUUUUCCUCCAAGGACAAAAAUGUGAAUAAAGCAAUAUUUUAGCCAAACAUUUCUGUGUCAAUUAAGAAGAUUGCAAUUCGUUCCAG